Molecule: transfer RNA, 755 nt
Filed under: uncultured cyanobacterium
Lineage: Bacteria; Bacillati; Cyanobacteriota
Description: partial miscellaneous RNA
Rfam family: tRNA (bases 266-338)
Source: RNAcentral
CAGGGAGACAACAACUGAUCGUGAUGUCUGAGAUAUUUACUCUUAGGCCAUGAUCCUGUCACCUUAGGUCGAUCGGUACCUCAAGCUAAGAAUCAAUGAAGGUUGAGAAAUCAAUUUUUUAUUUUGGUAAUUAACUUCAGUUCCUAAACUUUGUCUAGGUCACACCCAGCAAGGGUACUCCUGGGCCAUUAGCUCAGGUGGUUAGAGCGCACCCCUGAUAAGGGCGAGGUCCCUGGUUCAAGUCCAGGAUGGCCCAUUCGUUGUUGGGGGUAUAGCUCAGUUGGUAGAGCGCCUGCUUUGCAAGCAGGAUGUCAGCGGCUCGAGUCCGCUUACCUCCACUGAUUCUCCUCCUGACUUCGUACUCAUAGGAGGUCCUUCUUGCUAGAGGUGUCUUAGACUUGAUUUAACUGGCCGAACCUAGCUUCUUAUCAUUCCAACCUCCAUUUUUUAAAUUGAGAAAGGUUGAUAUGACGCUGGGCUCACUAGGAUUCUUAAGAGUUCUAGUUAAGUUCAGUAGAACCUUGAAAACUGCAUAGGUAAGUCUGGAAAAGAAUAAAGCAUCUCAUGGAUGCAUUAACUCUAAAUUCAAAUUAUUUUUGAUCAUUAGAUUAAUGUUGAUUCUUGAGCAAGAGCCGAGACUCUAUAAUUAUUUUUGAAGGAUUUAAUCUUUCAAAAUUUUUAUUAUUGAUUAAAAGUUAAACCUUAUUAAUCUAUAAUAAGAGCGUUAUAAAGCGCGAUUAAUUGUAGAGAUUAUU